CAGCCGCCGCGGUAAUACGUAGGGUGCGAGCGUUAAUCGGAUUUACUGGGCGUAAAGCGUGCGCAGGCGGCCCGUUAAGACAGGUGUGAAAUCCCUGGGCUCAACCUAGGAAUUGCGCUUGUGACUGGCGGGCUCGAGUACGGUAGAGGGGGGUGGAAUUCCUGGUGUAGCAGUGAAAUGCGUAGAGAUCAGGAGGAACACCGAUGGCGAAGGCAGCCCCCUGGGCCUGUACUGACGCUCAUGCACGAAAGCGUGGGGAGCAAACAGGAUUAGAUACCCUGGUAGUCCACGCCCUAAACGAUGGGUACUAGCCGUUUGGUGCGCGAUAGCGCUGAGUGGCGAAGCUAACGCGUGAAGUACCCCGCCUGGGGAGUACGGCCGCAAGGUUGAAACUUAAAGAAUUGGCGGG
RNAcentral lists this ribosomal RNA (409 nucleotides) under uncultured microorganism. Its description in RNAcentral is "bacterial SSU rRNA". It matches the Rfam family "Bacterial small subunit ribosomal RNA", at positions 509 to 917 of the family's 1533-position model. The record is from RNAcentral.